CAGCAGCCGCGGGAAUACGAAGGGGGCUAGCGUUGCUCGGAAUGACUGGGCGUAAAGGGCGCGUAGGCGGAUUGUUUAGUUAGGCGUGAAAUUCCUGGGCUUAACCUGGGGACUGCGCUUAAUACAGGCAGUCUAGAGUGAGGAAGAGGGUUGUGGAAUUCCCAGUGUAGAGGUGAAAUUCGUAGAUAUUGGGAAGAACACUGGUGGCGAAGGCGGCGACCUGGUCCUUGACUGACGCUGAGGCGCGAAAGCGUGGGGAGCAAACAGGAUUAGAUACCCGAGUAGUCCCUGUCUCUUAUAC
RNAcentral lists this ribosomal RNA (301 nucleotides) under uncultured bacterium. RNAcentral describes it as "partial 16S ribosomal RNA". It matches the Rfam family "Bacterial small subunit ribosomal RNA", at positions 509 to 807 of the family's 1533-position model. The record is from RNAcentral.